RNAcentral lists this unclassified non-coding RNA (991 nucleotides) under Hevea brasiliensis (rubber tree). Lineage: Eukaryota; Viridiplantae; Streptophyta; Magnoliopsida; Malpighiales; Euphorbiaceae. The record is from RNAcentral.
AUUCAUCACUUUUCAAUUUACAGGCUACAUACAUACUCCGAUCAAUUUCUGCCGGAACUAGGGUUCCGCCGGCCGGAGAAUUUCCAGUUCCGGAUCUGUCUAAUUGAAGUUGUAGAUCGCACAAUUAGUUAAGCAAAUUUGGAAUGAUUUAUGGGUGAAUUGAUUGUUUUGUUGGUGGUGGUUAGUGGUUGGUAGCUGAAGUAGAAGAAGAAGAGGAGGACAAAAGUUCAAUCAAUAUACAGAAAAUGAGUGUGAGCAACGGUUCAGUUCAUCCUGUUGACGCACCACCGUUGCAAACAGAAGCAGCUAACGUGCCGCGAGUGAGGAUGAAGGAUGUUCAAGGAAUGCCUGGGACGGUUGGUGGAUCCUUCUUACGUUUCGCUCAGUUUGUAUUUGCUGUUGUUGCGCUUUGUGUUAUGGCUACUACCAGUGAUUUUCCUUCCGUCACAGCUUUCUGUUACCUUGUCGCUGCUGCUGGCUUGCAGAGCUUAUGGAGCUUGUCUCUAGGUAUUCUUGAUGUUUAUGCUCUUCUUGUUGGACGGUGCUUGCAGAACUCUCAGGUUGUGAGUUUAUUUGCUGUCGGUGAUGGGGUCACUUCUACCCUCAUGUUUGCUGCAGCCUGUGCUUCUGCUGGCAUUACUGUACUGAUUGGCAAUGACCUUGGUGUCUGCUCACAAAAUCACUGCUUAGAGUUCGAGACUGCUACUGCCAUGGCUUUUCUUAGCUGGUUCUGUGCUUUGCCAUCAUUUCUCUUAAACUUUUGGUCACUUGCAUCCAGGUGAAGAAAGGCUCUCAAGGAAUUAGAAACGAUGCCAAAAUAUCUUGUAAAAGUACUGCCUUUUGUUUUGAUGUUGUAAAAUUUUGUCUAGAUGAUCAAUGUCCCAGAAAAACAUGCAAUUGCUACUGCAGUGUGUAAAUACUGAUUGCGUAAAGCAGGUUAAUGUGGGUAAUUGAGCUGUGCUCUAACUCUGUUGCUGGAUAUAAAGGAUUG